RNAcentral lists this ribosomal RNA (549 nucleotides) under uncultured bacterium. Its description in RNAcentral is "bacterial SSU rRNA". It matches the Rfam family "Bacterial small subunit ribosomal RNA", at positions 777 to 1318 of the family's 1533-position model. The record is from RNAcentral.
AAUAGAUACCCGGGUACGUCCACGCCGUAAACGGUGGGCACUAGAUGUGGGGCUCUUUCCAUGAGUUCCGCGUCGCAGCUAACGCAUUAAGUGCCCCGCCUGGGGAGUACGGCCGCAAGGCUAAAACUCAAAGGAAUUGACGGGGGGCCCGCACAAGCGGCGGAGCAUGCGGAUUAAUUCGAUGCAACGCGAAGAACCUUACCAAGGCUUGACAUAUACCCGUUUAUCCCUAGAGAUAGGGAGUCCUUCGGGGCGGUAUACAGGUGGUGCAUGGUUGUCGUCAGCUCGUGUCGUGAGAUGUUGGGUUAAGUCCCGCAACGAGCGCAACCCUCGUUCUAUGUUGCCAGCGCGUAAUGGCGGGGACUCAUAGGAGACUGCCGGGGUCAACUCGGAGGAAGGUGGGGGAUGGACGUCGAAAUCAUCAUGCCCCCUUAUGUCUUGGGCUUCACGCAUGCUACAAUGGCCGGUACAAAGGGCUGCAAUACCGCAAGGUGGAGCGAAUCCCAAAAACGCCGGUCCCAGUUCGGAUUGAGGUCUGCAACUCGACCU